GCAAGUCGAGGGGCAGCGGGGAAGUAGCAAUACUUCCGCCGGCGACCGGCGCACGGGUGAGUAACACGUAUGGAACCUGCCCGUAGCAGGGGGAUAAGCGGAAGAAAUUCCGUCUAAUACCGCGUAAUAACUUCGAGAGGCAUAUCAUGGGGUUUAAAGGGUGACACCGGCUACGGAUGGCCAUGCGGGGCAGUAGCUAGUUGGCGGGGUAACGGCCCACCAAGGCGACGAUGCGGAGGGGGUCUGAGAGGAAGGGC
Molecule: ribosomal RNA, 257 nt
Filed under: uncultured bacterium
Lineage: Bacteria
Description: partial 16S ribosomal RNA
Rfam family: Bacterial small subunit ribosomal RNA
Source: RNAcentral